AGCUCCUGGAUGUAAGAUACGGUCAACUGAGCGAGAGCUUUGCGAUAAAAACCUAACCGCACCGUAUGUUACUCCUGAUGAAUGCAUCAGCAAGGGUUGUUGCUAUGACGACAUAUUUAUGUCGGAGCCAUCAGUUUGGUUCUACAAACCCUCGGGCAGAAGGUGGUGUUUCAAGCCCAAAAAUUAAUAGUAAGUGUAGCAUAAAGGUUCACGCAUGAAUACAAUUUAUACAUGGUAUAUAUGUUGAUGUCUGUAUUCUGUUUAAUUACAAGGAGAAACUAAAUAAUUAAGUAACUAUACAAUUAAUGUUAAUUUUCAUUAAUUCAUUAAUAUACUAAUUAGUAAUGAAAAUAUCAUUAAUCUCUUGCAGAAAAAUGGAACUAAACUUUCAUAAAUUUGGUGCCGAUGUGCCGUCUCUUUUUUGGGGUAAUCCAAUGAGCAAUAUUCUUAUCACUAUCACUGCAAUUUUGUUUUAUCUACAAUCUUGGACAAAACUGGUUGAGACAACCUUUCCUACACUUAUGAUAAAUUCAAUGUCAAAUCAUGUUGUGCAUACCUUUUUACUGAUGUUGUCGAUUUGCUCAUUCCAACAUAGAUUGUCAUCAAUCAGUACACCUAAAGUCUUUUUGGAAUAAACCUGUUUCAAUAGUUUCCCCCCGCAUGAUACGCUAGUAUUUUUUUGAAUUUUAGCUAAUCUUUGGCGGGUUCCAAUGAUCAUGUAUUCUGUUUUUUCAAUGUUUAAAGUUAGCUUGUUUGAAAGAAGCCACUGGUGAAUAUUUUUCAUUUCAGAAUUUAGUGCUUCCUCCAAAUUAUUAAUGCUAUCUGAACAUACUGUAAGAUUUGUAUCAUCUGCAAUGAUUAUCCCGUAUUAAAUUGUAUUACAGCAAGAAAAUGUGAAAUUUUGUAUUCAAUUACAACAAAACUUGACUUGACUUGCAUCGUCAGAAAGCUUACAAAAAACCGCAUGUAAGACUUUUAAACAGUUUUUUGAUUCUUUAAAUAGUCUUUGAGUUAUUACUGUUUUAAAUGUGAAAAUUGGACUAAAAUGUUGCAAUAAGGACUG
This is a non-coding RNA of Paramuricea clavata, 1063 nucleotides long. Lineage: Eukaryota; Metazoa; Cnidaria; Anthozoa; Malacalcyonacea; Plexauridae. The record is from the annotation of a GenBank genome assembly.